GGUAGUCCACGCCGUAAACGAUGUCGACUUGGAGGUUGUUCCCUUGAGGAGUGGCUUCCGGAGCUAACGCGUUAAGUCGACCGCCUGGGGAGUACGGCCGCAAGGUUAAAACUCAAAUGAAUUGACGGGGGCCCGCACAAGCGGUGGAGCAUGUGGUUUAAUUCGAUGCAACGCGAAGAACCUUACCUACUCUUGACAUCCACGGAAUUCGGCAGAGAUGCCUUAGUGCCUUCGGGAACCGUGAGACAGGUGCUGCAUGGCUGUCGUCAGCUCGUGUUGUGAAAUGUUGGGUUAAGUCCCGCAACGAGCGCAACCCUUAUCCUUUGUUGCCAGCGAUUCGGUCGGGAACUCAAAGGAGACUGCCGGUGAUAAACCGGAGGAAGGUGGGGAUGACGUCAAGUCAUCAUGGCCCUUACGAGUAGGGCUACACACGUGCUACAAUGGCGCAUACAAAGAGAAGCGACCUCGCGAGAGCAAGCGGACCUCACAAAGUGCGUCGUAGUCCGGAUCGGAGUCUGCAACUCGACUCCGUGAAGUCGGAAUCGCUAGUAAUCGUGGAUCAGAAUGCCACGGUGAAUACGUUCCCGGGCCUUGUACACACCGCCCGUCACACCAUGGGAGUGGGUUGCACCAGAAGUAGCUAGUCUAACCUUCGGGAGGACGGUUACCACGGUGUGAUUCAUGACUGGGGUGGAAGUCGUAACAAGGUAACC
This 713-nucleotide ribosomal RNA is filed under the name uncultured bacterium. RNAcentral describes it as "bacterial SSU rRNA". It matches the Rfam family "Bacterial small subunit ribosomal RNA", at positions 789 to 1501 of the family's 1533-position model. The record is from RNAcentral.